RNAcentral lists this ribosomal RNA (42 nucleotides) under Botryosphaeria dothidea. RNAcentral describes it as "partial 28S ribosomal RNA". The record is from RNAcentral. RNAcentral also lists the same sequence under 25 other names. Lineage: Eukaryota; Fungi; Ascomycota; Dothideomycetes; Botryosphaeriales; Botryosphaeriaceae.
GUUGACCUCGGAUCAGGUAGGGAUACCCGCUGAACUUAAGCA